CAUGAUAUGUUGAGGACAGCUACAGUUCACUGACUCUGUGUGUUUGCAUAUGUGUCCUUCCUCUCUGCUCCCAGCCUUUAAGAGGCCAGUGUUGAUCAGUGGCUGUCCAGGCCUUUCAGAGCCACUGACACGCCGGCAGCACAAUGAUGAUGUCACUGACUCUACUGCUGGCCACCCUGGGGCUCCUUGUUCAGGGUUCAUCAGGACAAAUCACCCUGACUCAGUCUCCUGGAUCUCAGUCUGUUGUUCCAGGACAGACUGUCUCUAUCAGAUGUAAAAUCAGUACAAGUGUUAGUAGCUCCCUCCACUGGUACCUUCACAAACCUGGAGAAGCUCCUAAACUCCUGAUUAGGUAUGCCACAACUCGUCAGUCUGGAGUUUCAAGUCGUUUCAGUGGAAGUGGAUCUGGUUCUGACUUCACUCUGACCAUCAGUGGAGUUCAGGCUGAAGAUUCAGGAGUUUACUACUGUCAGCAGAGUUACAGCUUGUUCACACAGUGAUACAACGUCGUACAAA
Dicentrarchus labrax (European seabass) is the source of this 516-nucleotide non-coding RNA. The record is from the annotation of a RefSeq genome assembly. Lineage: Eukaryota; Metazoa; Chordata; Actinopteri; Moronidae.